RNAcentral lists this ribosomal RNA (300 nucleotides) under Leuconostoc mesenteroides. Its description in RNAcentral is "bacterial SSU rRNA". It matches the Rfam family "Bacterial small subunit ribosomal RNA", at positions 393 to 685 of the family's 1533-position model. Lineage: Bacteria; Bacillati; Bacillota; Bacilli; Lactobacillales; Lactobacillaceae. The record is from RNAcentral.
CACGCCGCGUGUGUGAUGAAGGCUUUCGGGUCGUAAAGCACUGUUGUAUGGGAAGAACAGCUAGAAUAGGGAAUGAUUUUAGUUUGACGGUACCAUACCAGAAAGGGACGGCUAAAUACGUGCCAGCAGCCGCGGUAAUACGUAUGUCCCGAGCGUUAUCCGGAUUUAUUGGGCGUAAAGCGAGCGCAGACGGUUGAUUAAGUCUGAUGUGAAAGCCCGGAGCUCAACUCCGGAAUGGCAUUGGAAACUGGUUAACUUGAGUGCAGUAGAGGUAAGUGGAACUCCAUGUGUAGCGGUGAA